UACGGGGGGUGCAAGCGUUGUUCGGAAUUACUGGGCGUAAAGGGCGCGUAGGCGGCUCGUUAAGUCGGGUGUGAAAACUCUGGGCUCAACCCAGAGCCUGCAUCCGAAACUGACGAGCUAGAGUUCUGGAGGGGAAAGCGGAAUUCCUGGUGUAGCGGUGAAAUGCGUAGAUAUCAGGAGGAACACCGGUGGCGAAGGCGGCUUUCUGGACAGAAACUGACGCUGAGGCGCGAAAGCUAGGGGAGCAAACAGG
RNAcentral lists this ribosomal RNA (253 nucleotides) under uncultured bacterium. RNAcentral describes it as "partial 16S ribosomal RNA". It matches the Rfam family "Bacterial small subunit ribosomal RNA", at positions 524 to 776 of the family's 1533-position model. The record is from RNAcentral.